AUUACGAUUUUGGGAGGGGUUUGGGGGGGGGGGUGGGGGUUAAGUUUUAUGCAUUUAAGGAGAUGAGGCAGCACCCGCCCCAAAACUCGCCCCCUGCCCUCUCACCAAGAGCUGAGUCAGCGCCUCAGGACCAGGCGAGGUGGUGGUGGUGGCACUGGGACCAGAUGAGGCACUGGGACCAGAUGGCAGCUGCCGGUGUGCCGCUAGGUCACCCACCCGCUGCCUCUCUGCCAGCGCCGCAUGCCAGACACUAAGCUCUCAGGACACCAGCAUGGGAGUCUGUGAGAAGAUCUGAGAGGAAACUGCAGUUUUUAUGGUGGAAUACAACUAUGAAUCCCAAGAAAACACUUUGCAAAGCUACCAGAGAUCCAACUCUCCAUUCAGACUUGGUUGCUCAGAAUGAACAUCAAGAGGCUGCAAACUCUGGAUAAGCACUCCUACUGCCCGUGCCACCACAGAGCAAUGAACUUUAACCAGCUUUAAGCCUCUGUGCAGGUAAAUUGCAUUGUCAAGUUCAGUUAGAGUAUUAAGUUUGGAUUUCUACCCUCAGUUACUCGUAACAUUGUUCUUUCAAAGAAGUACCAGCCUGAAUUUUACCUAAUGACAGCACUAGUAGGAAGCAAAAUGCUUUCCAGGUUCAUCUGACGGGUAGUUGAGCACCCCUGCGUGUACCUGCUCGGAGCACAUACUUCUUUAUGUACCCAUAUGAACAUACAAUGCUAUGGAAUGUAAAGAAGUAUGUAUUUUUGGCAGGCACGGAACAACCCGUAAGAGGAAACUAAACAGCUGUUGGAAGAAACAGGCUUCCCCCUUGUUUGAAUGACAUUCAUGUGACAAAUUAACUUGCUAAGGGGUCAGCUGGUAUUGCCAAAAUAACACGGACUUGUUAGUACCAAAUCACAAAGCCUUAAAUUAGGUGACUGCAAACGUGGGUAGGAAAAGUUGCUUGUGGGUUAUAAGCAGAACGUUAGCUGUACACACAAAAACUCAAAAGGAGGCUGGAAACAAUUAAAACAUACUAAUUAAGAUCACAGCAUAGCAGUGAAAAUUACGAUUACCAGUACACCUCAUUCAAAAGACCCUAAGCAAACCUUAAAAGCCAAACUGAUUACCAAAAUGUAUUGUUUUGGUAAUCACAACAAGCCAUUAUUUGGUUAAUCACAGCAAGUUCUGUGUGCUUAAGAUAGCAGGCUUUAAAUUUACAUCAACCACAGGGCAUUUCACCUACAGGCUGCAAUUAGGACACGAGCAGAACCAGCUAGGAAAUUCAGCCCAUGAUUUCGAGAAAAGGAUCAUCAUCAGAAUUACUGAGCAUGCUAGCAUCUGCCAUUUAAUACGUGACACUUAAGUUAGAAUUUUCUCCAAAGCAGCAUUCAGCAUGCUCACCGAGCUCUGCGACACAAACUGCUCUGUCAGGUUUAUGCACAGAAAGUGACAAUAAAGAGAUUUCUAGGCCACAGUUCCCAGUCAGCAGAUUAAAGCUAUUGACAGAUUCCUAAAUGAAAACACAAAUGACAACUAACAGUUAGAAGUUAAGUCCCCUUGAAUACUGUUUUCAAAUGAACUGAAUUUACUGUAACGCUAGAUAAAAGAAAAUUGGCCAAGGAAAUAUGAUUUUAGAGCACCUAGGAAAUUGUAAGACCUCUGUGAGAAAUAUCAAAGCAUGGGAAAAAGUCCUACAGCAGUUUCGAGCUCCAAAAGCAGUAUUAAUUUAAACAUACCAUCCCUAUGAUGCUCAUUAUAAAAUUCAGAAGUAAGGAAAAUAUGAGGAAAGCUCCCAGCUCAUCAGUCCAGCAAUUCCUAUUCAUAAUAGCAGCCUUCUAAAAACAGUUACAUGAUACAUGCAUGCAAAGUAGACACGUUUGUCCCAGAUUAAAUGUCCUAACUCUACCCAUGUGCUUACUGAAAAGUCCGGGAGGAGGAAAAAUAACAGAAAAAAAAAAAGAAAUAGGCGCCAUUUUUAGAUGGAGAACCUUAUUUUUAAAUACUCACAUAAAUUCUCAAAUAGCUAUUAUACAUAGCCUGCUAUUUUUGUUACCUGAAACUACAGAAUAACACGUACACAAGAACGAACAUUCUCUUAUCAGAACCAUUUGCCUAAGUAAAAUGCUAAAUUUCUUUGAAAGCUAUUUCUUUUAUAAGCAGAUAUUUCGGCACAAAGGCAAUGGCAUCUUAACAUCUAAAUUAAAAACUGGGUUACAGUGGGAAACAAAUCAAACUGUAGUGUCUUUUCUAAGUGCAGUGACGCUACUGAACUCGACCAGGCUCCUAGAAGCAAUUUGGUAUUACCAGCAGCUUUACAGAGAGGUUAACUGCUACGCAUUUACGCAUUUUGCUGAGGAGUUCCUGUCCUCGCCACCAAUUGAUUUGGCCUCCGCUAUGCAAUCCAACUUUUUAACAGCUUCAAUUUAUUUUGACAAGUUUUUGGUAACAAGUCGUCAUGUUGUGUUCUUUCGCUGCUUCUUUGUGUACCAUCGCAAUGCGAUUCCGAAACAAAAUGACAGUUCCCAGCCCUACAGAAGUUAAAAUUACACAUCCACAUUGCUUCCUGCUGGUCCACGUUAGCAUGUCUCUAAGAAUACAUACCCAGUCACUCUGAAAUGUCACAUCCAUCACUUAGAUCAGCUGUUCAAUUUUAACCGAGCACACGCUGAACUUUGGGCAUCUGCUGACACAGUUGUAACUCAAACAUUUCAACUGUGUGACUGACAGGGAUAACAGAUGCUGACAUUAUCAAAUGCUACACGGCUUUUUUUCCAGGGCCGUUUUUUGUCCCGAUAUGGCCAGUACAUGCAACUGUAUUGCCAUCCAAAAGUGCACUUGAGCAGCUGUAUCUGUAAAACAGUUCCUGUAUAACUGGUAAAAAUAGAAACUCAUUUUAUAGCCGUCUUUAAUGCUUAAGUCCAAGCGACACACCUGCUACGCUUCUAUUAGGAUCCAUGGUGUGGGGAAUACAUUUACAUAAAUCUUCUCACCAGUAUCGGGCUCUGCAACAAGCAGAUGCAGACUAUACUUGAUAUAGUCAUUAGGGAAUAGCUUGAACUCACGUUGCCUCCUAUUUCCCACUGCAGUCAAAGCUCAUAAAGAACUCGGCACACAACGUUUAAAAAAAAAAAAAAAAAAAGCUAUGUAAGCAUGCACAAAUGUAUGCAGGAGCCUUAGUUGAGCAAAAACCAGACACAGUGCCAGAUAAUUCUUUUAAAAACUGCGUUUUGCUGGCAUUAAACAUGCUUAUGUAUUUGAUCAACAGUUAAAAAAAAAUCUGCCCUGCUAUAUUAUAUAAUCAUUCCUAAAAAGUUAAUACUAACCAGAGAUAUAGUGGUGGAAUUGAAAGCACUUGACAUUUACACUUGUGCUAACCAGCCACAGCCCUGGAGCAGCUGCAAAAGGUAACCUGCCAGAAAACCAAGGGGGGUAGGGAGGUGGGAAAACAAAACCUCCUCUCCAGUACAGUUUAACAUCGAGAGGCGAAGGAAGCCUACGGGAGCAGAGCCUGUAAGCACGCUGUUUCUGGUCAGUGCUCUAGAGUUUAGUCACUGGAGAUGGAAAACAGCUUAAACUGCAAGUGUAAUUUGACUUGAGACUCCUCCAAAAGAGCCUCGAGAAAUAAACACAGUCGUGUACCGUACAGUCCUUGCUGGUACAUAGCUUACCAUGUUGCCCUCUCCAAAUUAAUCACAGAAUUUAAAUUUGCAGUGGCUAGAAACAAAACAUACAACGCAGGAGAAAGCCCCAUGUUCUUCGUAAGCAGUCUGUCUAGGUUAAAGGGCCUUAGAAAUGUUGUGUUGAAUUAUAACUUUCCUGCACUCCAAUGCUUUGCUAAAGCUGGUAAAAUGGAACCAAAUCACCUCUUCAAUGGAUUUGGUCCCCUUCAACCAGCUGUAGCUAUGCAUUGAUCACUACAGGACUUCUCGUGUUUUUAAACCCGGACACUAAGCCUCUUCAGAGCAAUUAUGCAGCCCUCUCUGCAGAGGAGUUUGAUUAUUCCUGGUACUUUGAAGACAAAAGGUAACAAAAAGCAUAGUAAGUUCUGUAUUCCACGAUUUCAAGGUGGUGUCUAUAAAUAAACAGCUACUGGUCUUUAAUAUCCUGUCCAUAUUCAGUGAAAAUUGAUCUCAUAACUUUUAUGAAGAUAGGCAAACAGCAAAAUAAACAGAUUUUCCAAUCA
This is a long non-coding RNA of Anas platyrhynchos (mallard), 4168 nucleotides long. RefSeq lists it as uncharacterized. NCBI's taxonomy places the organism in Eukaryota, Metazoa, Chordata, Aves, Anseriformes, Anatidae. The record is from RefSeq and is a predicted model, not a curated record.